CCCUUAGAUGUUCUGGGCCGCACGCGCGCUACACUGAUGCAUUCAACAAGCCUAGCCUUGACCGAGAGGUCCGGGUAAUCUUUGAAACUGCAUCGUGAUGGGGCUAGAUUAUUGCAAUUAUUAAUCUUCAACGAGGAAUGCCUAGUAAGCGUGAUUCAUCAAAUCGCGUUGAUUACGUCCCUGCCCUUUGUACACACCGCCCGUCGCUCCUACCGAUUGAACGUUUUAGUGAGCUCCUCGGAUUGUCAGCCUGGCGGUUAAUCCUGCCUGGCUAGCGAAAAGACGAGCAAACUUGAGCGUUUAGAGGAAGUAAAAGUCGUAACA
RNAcentral lists this ribosomal RNA (324 nucleotides) under uncultured eukaryote. RNAcentral describes it as "partial 18S ribosomal RNA". It matches the Rfam family "Eukaryotic small subunit ribosomal RNA", at positions 1470 to 1796 of the family's 1831-position model. The record is from RNAcentral.